CGGGGUGAGUAGUGUCUGGGAAACUGCCUGAUGGAGGGGGAUAACUACUGGAAACGGUAGCUAAUACCGCAUGACGUCGCAAGACCAAAGAGGGGGACCUUCGGGCCUCUUGCCAUCGGAUGUGCCCAGAUGGGAUUAGCUAGUAGGUGGGGUAACGGCUCACCUAGGCGACGAUCCCUAGCUGGUCUGAGAGGAUGACCAGCCACACUGGAACUGAGACACGGUCCAG
Molecule: ribosomal RNA, 229 nt
Filed under: uncultured bacterium
Lineage: Bacteria
Description: partial 16S ribosomal RNA
Rfam family: Bacterial small subunit ribosomal RNA
Source: RNAcentral